CUAGUUGGAAUCUUCCACUUCCUGUUUGCCAGUCUGGCCUCCUACCUGGGCAGGUGUGGAUGGAGCACAUGGAACAAACAUUUGGACUCAACCCAGAGAACAGGACCUUCACAAGCAAUAACACCCUGUAGAACAUCAGGAGGAGACGCGGCCAUGAUGGUUUCUAAGACUUCACCUGAACAACAGCAACUUUGCAAAAGGAGGAGACGCGGCCAUGAUGGUUUCCAGGACUUCGCGUGAAGAGGAGGAUCUUCGCGCUGCAGAAACCACGGGGAGGACACGGCCCCCCCCGCGCCUGCUACCACAGGACCCACUCCGAUGAUCCAGGCCCCCGACAACGGGCGGGAUUCGAACCAAUCUCCUGCAACUUCCAGCCGCGGUUGAACCACCACACGCCACCGAGAACCCCUCACACUUGGACCUUCUCUCUGAGCGCUUUUGUCAUCGUCACUUUGGAAUCUGGACUUUAAAAGUCACGACUGUCAUAACAUUUGAACCCAUGACUUCACACUCACCAUAGACUCUUCUAACAGUCUGAGCUAUUUGUCCACAGGUUCCUCCUCUUUCUUGGAGAUUUUCAGUCUCUACUUUGAGUGUUGGACUCUAAAAUUCAUAGACUACGAUAAGAGUUGAACCCACGUCUUCAGAAC
Mugil cephalus (flathead mullet) is the source of this 650-nucleotide long non-coding RNA. RefSeq lists it as uncharacterized. The transcript is spliced from 5 exons. The record is from RefSeq and is a predicted model, not a curated record. NCBI's taxonomy places the organism in Eukaryota, Metazoa, Chordata, Actinopteri, Mugiliformes, Mugilidae.